Molecule: ribosomal RNA, 448 nt
Filed under: uncultured bacterium
Lineage: Bacteria
Description: SSU rRNA
Rfam family: Bacterial small subunit ribosomal RNA
Source: RNAcentral
AGAGCGAACGCUGGCGGCAGGCCUAACACAUGCAAGUCGAGCGCCCGUAGCAAUACGGGAGCGGCAGACGGGAUAGUAACACGUGGGAACGCGCCCUUCGGUUCGGAAUAACUCAGGGAAACUUGAGCUAAUACCGGAUACGCCCUUACGGGGAAAGAUUUAUUGCCGAAGGAACGGCCCGCGUCCGAUUAGCUAGUUGGUGAGGUAAUGGCUCACCAAGGCGACGAUCGGUAGCUGGUCUGAGAGGAUGACCAGCAUCACUGGGACUGAGACACGGCCCAGACUCCUACGGGAGGCAGCAGUGGGGAAUUUUGCGCAAUGGGGGAAACCCUGACGCAGCAACGCCGCGUGGAGGAUGAAAUCCCUUGGGAUGUAAACUCCUUUCGAUCGGGAAGAUAAUGACGGUACCGAGAGAAGAAGCCCCGGCUAACUUCGUGCCAGCAGCCGC